UCUAUUUUUUUUUUUUUUUUUUAAAUCGUUUAUAAAAUAUCAGUUACCUUUGACAAUUUGAGUAUUUUUAGUUCAGUGUGUAAUUGGUUUCAAAUUGGAAGAAAUGAAGAAUUUACAUAUUACGGGAUCAUCGUAUAAUCGAUGCAUCUUUCUUUUGGUUUUCGUCAUUUACGAUCCUCUUCGUUGAUUAAAACGGCAACGAGGAUGAAACGUAAAAAUUAGAGAAACUCUAUCUUCCGACAAUUUCUCAAACUUUCCAUCUCUCUCAUCUAUCGAACACCUUAUUCUCUUUCAUAAGAUAUUUCCUAUAGAAAUAAAGAACUAUAAUAUUUAUGAGACGAUCUGGAAUCUGCGUGCGAGACGUGCUUUCUUUCGAAACUGAAUUCAUUAAAUUUCGUGCUGUCGUCGACUGGUGCACGGCAGAUUAAAGAAGGAGAAAUUUUCUGUAACACACGUGAAUUAAAUGCUAACAACGUUAUCGAACGUAAUUCUUUCGAAUGUGGAUAAUGGAUCGUAAAAAUUGUUGGCAGUUUUAAAUUUAGUAUGUCAACAGGCUUAUGUAAAUGUUAAGACAAUUCAACAAGUUGGUUGGUGAAAUCCAAGGCUGAUGAUUGUUCAUCAAACAAUGAACGAAAAGAGGAAGUUGGAAGAAUGCCAUUAACGAUAAUUACUUGUAAAUUAACUAAUCCACGACCAACAGCAAGAAAAAUAGCGCCUCGGACGAUGGUAAGCCAUUUUAUUAUUCGUCGUUUGAUAUUUUAAUAUAAUUAAAAGAAAGGAACUUAGGUGGGAAAUUAUUUUAUCCAUUGAACAUCGUAACUCUAUACUUUGUACGUUUUACACAUUUUUUCAUAUUACGUGGAUUCCGUGAAUUUUUGCACUAUCAGAUUUCCUGCAGACGCGUGAAAAUUUGUAAUCCCAUGGUAAUAAGUGAAGAAAGUGAAAAAUAGAAGGAAAAUGGAAAAAGGAAUAGAGAGGCAAGUGAAAGGAUUAGAGUUACUUAUUAGAUCACAUAUUAGAAAGAGAAAAGCGUAAAAAAUAAGGAAAAGAAUUAAAAAAAUAAGGUAAA
Long non-coding RNA from Bombus terrestris (buff-tailed bumblebee), 1069 nucleotides. RefSeq lists it as uncharacterized. The record is from RefSeq and is a predicted model, not a curated record. The transcript has 2 exons. NCBI's taxonomy places the organism in Eukaryota, Metazoa, Arthropoda, Insecta, Hymenoptera, Apidae.